This 818-nucleotide ribosomal RNA is filed under the name uncultured Acidobacteriota bacterium. Its description in RNAcentral is "bacterial SSU rRNA". It matches the Rfam family "Bacterial small subunit ribosomal RNA", at positions 56 to 875 of the family's 1533-position model. Lineage: Bacteria; Pseudomonadati; Acidobacteriota. The record is from RNAcentral.
UGCAAGUCGCGUGCGCAGUCUGUAGCAAUACAGGCCGGCGCACGGCGCACGGGUGCGUAACACGUGGGCAAUCUGCCCUCCGAUGGGGAAUAACCCCGCGAAAGCGGGGCUAAUACCGCAUAAAAUUCCUUGGACCAUGGUCCGAGGAUUCAAAGCAGUAAUGCGUCGGAGGAGGAGCCCGCGCCCGAUUAGCUAGUUGGCGAGGUAACGGCUCACCAAGGCAAUGAUCGGUAGCUGGUCUGAGAGGAUGAUCAGCCACACUGGAACUGAGACACGGUCCAGACUCCUACGGGAGGCAGCAGUGGGGAAUCUUGCACAAUGGGCGAAAGCCUGAUGCAGCGACGCCGCGUGGGGGAUGAAGCAUUUCGGUGUGUAAACCCCUUUCGACCGGGAAGAAUGCCUCGCAAGAGGAUUGACGGUACCGGUAUAAGAAGCCCCGGCUAACUACGUGCCAGCAGCCGCGGUAAGACGUAGGGGGCCAGCGUUGUUCGGAAUUACUGGGUGUAAAGGGUUCGUAGGCGGUGCGGCAAGUUGGGAGUGAAAUCUCUGGGCUUAACCCAGAGGCUGCUUCCAAAACUGCUGUGCUUGAGUGUGGGAGAGGCGCGUGGAAUUGCAGGUGUAGCGGUGAAAUGCGUAGAUAUCUGCAGGAACACCCGUGGCGAAAGCGGCGCGCUGGACCACAACUGACGCUGAGGAACGAAAGCUAGGGGAGCAAACAGGAUUAGAUACCCUGGUAGUCCUAGCCCUAAACGAUCAGGACUUGGGGUGGCACCCGUUUGGGUGUCGUCCCGUAGCUAACGCGUUAAGUCCUGCACCUG